This 1441-nucleotide ribosomal RNA is filed under the name uncultured organism. Its description in RNAcentral is "SSU rRNA". It matches the Rfam family "Bacterial small subunit ribosomal RNA". The record is from RNAcentral.
UACAGGCUUAACACAUGCAAGUCGAGGGGCAUCAGGAAGAAAGCUUGCUUUCUUUGCUGGCGACCGGCGCACGGGUGAGUAACACGUAUCCAACCUGCCCUUUACUCGGGGAUAGCCUUUCGAAAGAAAGAUUAAUACCCGAUAGCAUAAUGAUUCCGCAUGGUUUCAUUAUUAAAGGAUUCCGGUAAAGGAUGGGGAUGCGUUCCAUUAGGUUGUUGGUGAGGUAACGACUCACCAAGCCUUCGAUGGAUAGGGGUUCUGAGAGGAAGGUCCCCCACAUUGGAACUGAGACACGGUCCAAACUCCUACGGGAGGCAGCAGUGAGGAAUAUUGGUCAAUGGGCGGUAGCCUGAACCAGCCAAGUAGCGUGAAGGAUGAAGGCUCUAUGGGUCGUAAACUUCUUUUAUAUAAGAAUAAAGUGCAGUAUGUAUACUGUUUUGUAUGUAUUAUAUGAAUAAGGAUCGGCUAACUCCGUGCCAGCAGCCGCGGUAAUACGGAGGAUCCGAGCGUUAUCCGGAUUUAUUGGGUUUAAAGGGAGCGUAGGUGGACUGGUAAGUCAGUUGUGAAAGUUUGCGGCUCAACCGUAAAAUUGCAGUUGAUACUGUCAGUCUUGAGUACAGUAGAGGUGGGCGGAAUUCGUGGUGUAGCGGUGAAAUGCUUAGAUAUCACGAAGAACUCCGAUUGCGAAGGCAGCUCACUGGACUGCAACUGACACUGAUGCUCGAAAGUGUGGGUAUCAAACAGGAUUAGAUACCCUGGUAGUCCACACAGUAAACGAUGAAUACUCGCUGUUUGCGAUAUACAGUAAGCGGCCAAGCGAAAGCAUUAAGUAUUCCACCUGGGGAGGACGCCGGCAACGGUGAAACUCAAAGGAAUUGACGGGGGCCCGCACAAGCGGAGGAACAUGUGGUUUAAUUCGAUGAUACGCGAGGAACCUUACCCGGGCUUAAAUUGCAGUGGAAUGAUGUGGAAACAUGUCAGUGAGCAAUCACCGCUGUGAAGGUGCUGCAUGGUUGUCGUCAGCUCGUGCCGUGAGGUGUCGGCUUAAGUGCCAUAACGAGCGCAACCCUUAUCUUCAGUUACUAACAGGUCAUGCUGAGGACUCUGGAGAGACUGCCGUCGUAAGAUGUGAGGAAGGUGGGGAUGACGUCAAAUCAGCACGGCCCUUACGUCCGGGGCUACACACGUGUUACAAUGGGGGGUACAGAAGGCAGCUAGCGGGUGACCGUAUGCUAAUCCCAAAAUCCUCUCUCAGUUCGGAUCGAAGUCUGCAACCCGACUUCGUGAAGCUGGAUUCGCUAGUAAUCGCGCAUCAGCCACGGCGCGGUGAAUACGUUCCCGGGCCUUGUACACACCGCCCGUCAAGCCAUGGGAGCCGGGGGUACCUGAAGUACGUAACCGCAAGGAUCGUCCUAGGGUAAAACUGGUGACUGGGGCUAAG